This 891-nucleotide ribosomal RNA is filed under the name Triticum aestivum (bread wheat). Its description in RNAcentral is "partial small subunit ribosomal RNA". Lineage: Eukaryota; Viridiplantae; Streptophyta; Magnoliopsida; Poales; Poaceae. The record is from RNAcentral.
AUGCGGCGACGGCGGGCGGGCGCGGCGCGGAGGCCGGGCAGCCGGGUGCGGCCGGCGCGAGGCGCUGCCGGGGCAGCCGGACGGCGGGCAGGCCGUGUCCUGGGGUGCGGCGCAGCGCACGGCCGGGCAGCCUUGACGCGGGCAGGAGGGCGCGCGGCCGGGCGCAGCGUGACCGCCGAACGAAGCGCGGAGCAAAGGCUCCGUCAACACGCGCGCGCAUGGUGUGCCGUGUGCGGGAUCCCGCUGUCAAGCAAGGGCUCGGAUCAUGGACUAUCCAUGUUCAUGGAUUUCCUUUGUACAGAAACCAUCGGCGGCGCGGCGCUGGAGCUGGCCGGCCGCGCGCUCCCGCCGGCGUGCCCCGCCGAGGUCACCCUCCUGCUUGUGCGCGGCGCCGACGGCAACGACGAUGCGCCAGCUUACGCGAGUGCGGACCGCGUCUCGGCCGCCGAGGGCGCGCGGUUCGAGGUGUACGCCGGGGAGGAGGGGCUCGCGGCGGAGGGCGCCUUCGCGCGGCGCAAUGGCGGGUGGCGCGUCGAGUUCCGCCGGCCGGCCACGUCGCGCUCGCGCGUCGCGGAGGUGCUGGUCCUCGCGGAGGGAGGCGUGCUCAUAAGAGCCAGGGCCAGGGCGUCGGCGGCGGGGAGGAUGGGGUGCGCCACGCGGCUGGAGGGGAUACCGGAGGAGGAGGAGGCGGGGCCGUGCGAGUGCGGGGCGUGCGGAGACGAGUGGGAGAUGGUCGGCCACACCGACGACGAGUUCAAGGAGCACGCGGAGGAGGUGGAGGCGGAAACGAUGCGGUGGGCGCUGGAGAUGGGCGCCUGGGCGGUGUGCGUCAGGGUCGGGCUGCUCGCCACCGCCCGCCGGUUCAGCCGGAGGCGGCCCGCGCUCCGGUGA